This 2301-nucleotide long non-coding RNA is filed under the name Homo sapiens (human). RNAcentral's name for it is "non-protein coding lnc-SLITRK6-16:1". Lineage: Eukaryota; Metazoa; Chordata; Mammalia; Primates; Hominidae. The record is from RNAcentral.
UUCUUUACUAUCCCUACAAAACACCUGAUGUCUAUAACUAAAGAUUCUGAACUGCCCACCUGCAACUGUCUUGAUCGAGUUACACGAAAAAUCAAAGGCUCAUAUUAUAUACACCUGAGGCAGGACCAGGUGUUGCUGCUGUCAGGGAAAUCAUGGUGAAUAUGUAUUGUGAAAAAGGAAACAUAAUAAGGAUAGAAACAGUAGUGUACACUGGUAAUGAAGGGAAAAGCUCUAAUAGGUGUCCAAUCAUUAAGUGGGUUUUAACAAGAAGCAGUGAUACAGAAAAAGCUCUCUGGUCUAGCAGUGUACAGGCCACCACUGUCCAACUGCUGUGAUAGUGAUGCUCAUCAUGGUGUGGGAUGGCAAUCGCUUCUCAGUGGCUGACUGGCUGUACACAGAGCUCACCAAGAAUCUAAGGUCAUACAGUAUGCAUCCCACCAACCGAAGAUGCACCCUCCAUUAAAAUCGUACCUGUACAUGUUAAGGAAUUGAUCCAGAGACAUGUGGCACUUCAUUCUCCUUUGGCUGUUCAUGGAGUAUGUACUUUAAUGGCUGUAAGUUUGGUAGCGGCCCAAGCUCCAGAAGAUUUAGAAUUGAUUCAAGCUCUCUCUUACAUACCUACUAUGAAAGAAUUACUAAAGGACAUAAUCCAGAAAGACAAUAUAUAAAACUGGAACAAAUUUGUGUGGAACAUGAGGCCAUGGAAAAAAACCUUGAAGAUAACUUAAAGAAUUUGGCUACACAAUUAGUUCCAAUAUAUAAGCAACAUGCUCCAUUAGCUUACCAAAAUCAGGUGGAACAUGAAAAUGUUGCACGAGAAUGUUAGCUUGGCAGCAAGAAUAGUUUUUCCUUCUCUGGCAUCAUAGCUUGCCUGGACUUCUCUGCCCAACCCCACAGAGACAUUCACAACAUGAAUAAUGGAAGCACUGUGGUUUGUACUUUAAUUCAAGAAGAUAACUGCUCUUUGGGUGUUAUUCCUCAAGAUAAGCAGCUCCAUGUGCUACUUCUUUAUACACUUUCAGACACAGAUGAGUUUGGCUGAAGGGAGGGAAUGGAAGCCAAGAUCAAAUCUGGGACCAUUGAGGUCCUGGCACCUUGAUGCAAAGAAAAAAAAAAAAAAGAAGAACAUGUUUCAUUCAGCCUGUUCCCAAGUUCUGAGAAGAAGAGGGCUGUGAUGAUGAUGGAGGUUCUUGCAUGUAAGAUAAGGGCAGUGGAGAAAAAACCCAUUCCCCAAAUCAAGUGGAGGAAUAACUCAGCAACAAUAAACCUCAGUAAGGCUUUACUGCUGCCAAUCUUCGCAAUUAAAACAGAGACAGUGCAACCUAAAGUAAAGGAACCCUAUUUUAUCUUAAAAGAUUUGUGAGGCCACAACACUAAAACCUAUUCUCUGAUUCCAUCCAUUUGUCACCCAGUGAAAGAGGCCAUUCCAUCUCCAGGCUUCUCCUGGUCCCCGAAGACUGCUUCAGCCACCCAGCUCUAUUGAAGAAGGAUGCAACAGUCCCCUACAGGUUUUCAGAAAGAAGUAGCAUUCCCCACUGCUCACUGCACGAUGCCUUCUGGAAGACUCAGUGGUGCCAAUGCAGCUGCUGCGGAAUGCUCUAGAAUUGCACAGCCUGGCGAAGUGGCUUCUCCCCCCACUCUGUCUCCCCCUGUGACAGAGCCCUUGGUUUCUUCUCAGCCUCCCACUGGUCUAACUGAACCACUAACUUCUCAUCAGCCAAGCCAGCAGCACCCCUUCCUCAACUCUUCUCAAGACCUCGCCUCUUUGAUGGAAGAUGAUGAGCAGCAUUCUGAAGCAAAUGAGCCUCUAUCAAACUAGUUGCUAUCUGAUGACUGCCUGUCACCUGCUGAAAAGAAAUUGUCCCACCUAGGUGAGUAUUGGUCAGACAGUGAGCACAUAUUUUUGGCUGCAUAUAUUGGUCGGGUGGUCAUGGCACAGCUCAGUUUUGAUUCAGUGUGCCCUGUGAGAGCUUCACACUAUGACUCCUGUGAGCAUCUAAAGCCUAGUCAAUCAAUUCACCUCUCCCUUGUCUUUUACCAGCACAAAAACCUGAAUAAGUCCCAACAUGAUCCUGAACUAAACAAAAUUAAGUUUCAGGCUAAAGAAGCUAAGAAUGAGAAAAUGAAGGCUUCAGAGCAAAAAGACCAGGAAGCUGAUGAAGGUCCUGAACUGCCCUCUAAGGAAAUUAUUUUAACCAAGUUCCUUCUCAUAAAGCAUUAACAUUAACCCAAGACAAUGGUGUCACCACAUUUCCUUAUGCUCUCACAUACAUUGCGGUGCCCUAUAACCAUUGGGUCUGA